Molecule: ribosomal RNA, 460 nt
Filed under: uncultured bacterium
Lineage: Bacteria
Description: partial 16S ribosomal RNA
Rfam family: Bacterial small subunit ribosomal RNA
Source: RNAcentral
CCUACGGGUGGCAGCAGUGAGGAAUAUUGGUCAAUGGGCGCAAGCCUGAACCAGCCAUGCCGCGUGAAGGAUGACGGCCCUAUGAGUUGUAACCUCCUUUUGCACGGGAGUACAGUCAGUUUCGUGUUCCUGUCUGAAUUUACUGUACGAAUAAGGAACGGCUAACUCCGUGCCAGCAGCCGCGGUAAUACGGAGGAUCCGAGCGUUCGCCGGAUUGAUUGGGUUUAACGGGUGCGUAGGCGGGCGGAUAAGUCAGGUGUGAAAUCCCGAGGCUCAACGUGGGAAUUGCCUUUGAUACUGUCAGGCUAGAGUGUAGUAGAGGUAAGCGGAAUGCAUGGUGUAGCGGGGAAAUGCUUAGAUAUCAGGAAGAACACCGAUGGCGAAGGCAGCUUACCGGGCUACUACUGACGUUGAGGCACGAAAGCGUGGGGAGCAAACAGGAUUAGAUACCCCAGUAGUC